GCAAUAACUGGUUCAGUUCUCAGAUGAUUUUUUAAUACUUCAUGCAGACAGGAUCUCACUUUGUUGCCCAGACUGGUCUCAAACUUCUGGCCUCAAGUGACCCACCCACCUCAGCCUCCCAAAGUAUCAACAGCAUCAUUUUAAACAGCAUUUUUGUUUAUUUGGUUGGUUGAACAGCUCCUAAGGGAAGAUUAAGUUGAGAUAAACAGAGAAGCAAGGCCGAGGAGCCUGCGACCCGGCUCCCUCACUGCCCCAGCGCAGCCCGCGGCGGCCGAUGCGCCAGAUGCCACCGGGGCUGUUUAAUGUUCGGGGUUAUGACCGCAGUGUUUACAAGACGUCUUCGGUUAUUUAUACUGUUAUUCCUCGCAGAGAGCCUUGAAACUUCCGCUUCAUUUGCUCUUUCUUUUCGAUUUUUUACCCUUUUUUCUCGGCUUAGUUUGGUACCUGGAGCGAGAGCUUCUCCGCCCUUCCACCAACCCCACAGGCCGCUUCGCGGGUGGAGCCCUCUGCCUGGCCAUGGAGGAAGGAUCCCGCUAGGCUGGUCCCGACUGGAGAAGCUGCUCUGCCAGGUGUGCUCUCUGUCAGCAAUAGUGACCUCAUUACCAAGGGGUGGCGACCACAUUACCAAGCGCAAUUCCCCAUUCUCCAAGGGCUGAGAACUUCGGUGACUUCAUCCACCUGUCUAUUUGCACAUGGAGGACUUUUCAAGAUGUCAGGAUACCCUUCCAUCACCCCACCACCGCCACCCCAACUUGACUUUCAAGAACACAUUUCA
RNAcentral lists this long non-coding RNA (775 nucleotides) under Homo sapiens (human). RNAcentral describes it as "non-protein coding lnc-TCF21-2:2". Lineage: Eukaryota; Metazoa; Chordata; Mammalia; Primates; Hominidae. The record is from RNAcentral.